This 170-nucleotide microRNA precursor is filed under the name Linum usitatissimum (flax). The record is from RNAcentral. Lineage: Eukaryota; Viridiplantae; Streptophyta; Magnoliopsida; Malpighiales; Linaceae.
GAGAGCAUAGGCCUGAUAUGAAGAUGGAGAGACCGUGGUUCAGCCAAGGAUGACUUGCCGGGCGGCAUCCUGCUCCGAUCCGGUCCGAUCAUUCUCGGCUCGAUCCUCGGCAAGUUAUUCUUGGCUACAUUGCGCUCACUUGUUCUCAUUUCAGACCUCUCUAUGUUCUC